AUUGAACGCUGGCGGCAGGCCUAACACAUGCAAGUCGAACGGUAGCACAGAGGAGCUUGCUCCUUGGGUGACGAGUGGCGGACGGGUGAGUAAUGUCUGGGAAACUGCCCGAUGGAGGGGGAUAACUACUGGAAACGGUAGCUAAUACCGCAUAACGUCUUCGGACCAAAGUGGGGGACCUUCGGGCCUCACACCAUCGGAUGUGCCCAGAUGGGAUUAGCUAGUAGGUGGGGUAAUGGCUCACCUAGGCGACGAUCCCUAGCUGGUCUGAGAGGAUGACCAGCCACACUGGAACUGAGACACGGUCCAGACUCCUACGGGAGGCAGCAGUGGGGAAUAUUGCACAAUGGGCGCAAGCCUGAUGCAGCCAUGCCGCGUGUAUGAAGAAGGCCUUCGGGUUGUAAAGUACUUUCAGCGAGGAGGAAGGCGGUAAGGUUAAUAACCUUAUCGAUUGACGUUACUCGCAGAAGAAGCACCGGCUAACUCCGUGCCAGCCGCCGCGGUAA
RNAcentral lists this ribosomal RNA (506 nucleotides) under uncultured bacterium. RNAcentral describes it as "partial 16S ribosomal RNA". It matches the Rfam family "Bacterial small subunit ribosomal RNA", at positions 30 to 523 of the family's 1533-position model. The record is from RNAcentral.